Molecule: long non-coding RNA, 1206 nt
Filed under: Piliocolobus tephrosceles (Ugandan red Colobus)
Lineage: Eukaryota; Metazoa; Chordata; Mammalia; Primates; Cercopithecidae
Description: lncRNA (ENSPTEG00000024244.1)
Source: RNAcentral
GCACCACCACGCCCAGCUAAUUUUUGUAUUUUUCGUAGACACGAGGUUUCACUAUGUUGGCCAGGAUGGUCUUGAUCUCUUGACCUCGUGAUCCAUCCACCUCAGCCUCCCAAAGUGCUGGGAUUAUAGGCGUGAGCCACCGCGCCCAGCUUAGUCUCUUUAUUUAAAGAUAAGGGUUUUUUGUUUUGUUUUGUUUUGUUUUUGAGACAUAAUCUCAUUCUGUUGCCCAGGCAGGAGUGCAGUGGCACAGUCAUAGCUCAUUGCAGCCUCAACCUGGGCUCAAGUGAUCCUCCCACUUCAUCUGAGUAGCAGGAACUACAGGCGUGCACCACCACACCCAGCUAAUUUUUGUGUUUUUUUUCUAGAGAUGGGGUUUUGCCCUGUGCCCAGGCAACAAGCAAAUCUGCCCACCUCAACCUUCCAAAGUACUGGGAUUACAGGCGUGAGCCACCACGCCCGGCUAGAGGGAAAAAAGAGGAAAAGCCAUCAGCAAUACCAAGGGAAACCGUAAGCUAAGGUUGGCAUAGUUCUCAGCAAGCCUCACAGUGAUUCUCUCUUCCCUCCCUCACCCCUUGCCUACCUUUAAUCCAAAAAUGAUUUUACCAGAAUGUCCAACAAAUAAGACAAGACCCAAAAGCACUGAGAACUUUUUCUUGCUGCCAAGUAUAAAACACAGACCGGUAUAGUGGCUUAAAAAAGCAAAUUCCCAGGAAAAUGUAUAGAGAUGGAAAAUAGGACAGCAGAAUAGCAGGGACUGGGGAGGGGAGAAGGGAGUGGUGCUCUUGAACAGGUAGAGUUUCUGUUUGGCUGGUGGAAAAGUUCUGGAAAAGAAAGUGUUGAUGGUUGCACAACAUUGUGAAUCUUCGUAAUACCAUUGAAUGGCACACUUAAAAAUGGUUAAAACAGUAAAUUGGGUUACCUAUGUUUUACCACAGUUAAAGAGUAUUUUUAAAAAAGCAUAUUCCCUCUGGGGUUAGUUAGCUGUAGUCAACACCUAAGUUCCCCAGUGAUGAACUGAAGUAUGGACCAAUAAUAUGAAUUAAAAUUAAAUAUUGCCAGGCAGGCUGGGCACGGUGGCUCACGCCUGUAAUCCCAGCACUUUGGGAGUCCUAGGCAGGCAGAUCACUUGAGGUCAGGAGUUCUAGACCAGCCUGGCCAACAUAGUGAGACCUCGCCUCUACUAAAAAAAUACAAAAAUUAGCUGGG